Molecule: ribosomal RNA, 433 nt
Filed under: uncultured bacterium
Lineage: Bacteria
Description: partial 16S ribosomal RNA
Rfam family: Bacterial small subunit ribosomal RNA
Source: RNAcentral
AACGAACGCUGGCGGCAUGCCUAACACAUGCAAGUCGAACGAGACCGUCGGGUCUGGUGGCGCGCGGGUUCGUAACGCGUGGGAACCUGCACUUAGGCUCGGCAUAACUCCCCGAAAGGGGUGCUAAUACCGGAGAAUGUCCUCGGUCCACAGAUUUAUCGCGAUUGGGUGGGCCUGCGUUGGAUUAGCUAGUUGGUAGGGUAAAAGCGUUUCACGGGGAGGAUCCAUAGCUGGUCAGAGAGGAAGGGCCGCCACACUGGGGCGGGGCAACGGCCCGGAAUUCUGGGGGAGGGAGGAAUGGGGGAUAUUGGAACACGGGGUGAAGGCUGAAGCAGCAAGGCCGCGUGAGCGAUGAAGGCCGUAGGGUUGUAAAGCUCUUUUACCCGGGAUGAUAAUGACAGUACCGGGAGAAUAAGCACCGGCUAACUCCGUG